This is a long non-coding RNA of Perca flavescens (yellow perch), 1051 nucleotides long. RefSeq lists it as uncharacterized. NCBI's taxonomy places the organism in Eukaryota, Metazoa, Chordata, Actinopteri, Perciformes, Percidae. The record is from RefSeq and is a predicted model, not a curated record. The transcript is spliced from 3 exons.
UGUGCUGCUAGCUUCAACUUAUAGGAACAAAAGUCCCCUUGUAGGACUUAUUUGCUGUAUUUCAUGUUGUCGUUGCAUUUUGCCCAUUAUGUAGUCUGCAAAUGUCAAGUCCCGUGACUACAGUCAUAAUUGUGUACACUACAAUUACUACAUUUGAUAUGAAUUUCACCUUGUAAUUUUUUACAGGGACUGAUGAGGAAACGCUCCCUGUCAUCCGCCUAAGAGCAGAGAAUGAGCACCUGUUUACAGGUGGCAGGCACGCAGCCCAAAGGGCCUGGGAGUUACUUACUGAAUAUCAAUGUAUUGCAUGAUACUGAUAACUGGUCUUACUUUUAACAUAUGCAGUGGCCUAAUAUCCAUUACGACCUGAUGUUCCUUACAUGUCAUAAUGUUGACAUACAUUUUCCUGGAUUGGGAAGAUAUGAUAACCAGUGUGUAUUGGUGGUGACAACUGGUAUUUUGAUGUGUCAUUUGAUGAUGAACUUGUAAAUAAAAUAACAACUGCUAUGUAGCCCACACUUGAGUUGACACAUGUGGCUGUAGACUUUACUUGCUCACCGUGAGUUAGCCAUUAACAUCUCUGUACCACUCAGGGAAAUUCUUCAGGUGACGGAGCUCACAGGUGUCACUCCGAGAUAAGUUGCCAAGAAAUGGGACAACGUGAAGGGGAAGUAUAAAAGUGCAUUUCCUGCAAUCCUGAUGCAUGAGAGGUGUGACACAGCUAGAAUCAUCUCAAACCAUGGCAGCACUCUACAGAUCGCCUCACCCAACAUCCACUGGCUCAUCAACCCAGUCCGCCCAGAGUCAAGACACAGCGGAGUCUAGCUCUGACAGCCAUCCCUCUGCCGGGCCCCCCCUCCCAGAAAGAAAAGGAAACACUCCCAGGUCUUGCAGUUCCUGGAGGAGGAGAGGUUCAACUGCCAGCCCCAGGCCAUGCAGGAGAUCUCCACCAGGUUCCUGAACCUCUUUCAGGAGCUGGUGCAGAAAAGAUUAGUUUGUGUUAUGUAUAGCUUUGUGUUAACUUGCUUGCAUUUUAGUUGGUUAUGUUUUA